Molecule: long non-coding RNA, 245 nt
Filed under: Fukomys damarensis (Damara mole-rat)
Lineage: Eukaryota; Metazoa; Chordata; Mammalia; Rodentia; Bathyergidae
Description: lncRNA (ENSFDAG00000028690.1)
Source: RNAcentral
UGAUAGACAUAUAGCUUUAACGUUUUCUUUUUGUUUUAGAGAUGGUGUCACAAGACAGUACACACCCAAGCAAGCAUUCCUGUACAGCACAUUUCUAAAGGUUGGAAAAAAAAUGGCUCUGUGCUCAGUGGGCACUGUUAACUCAUAUCCUAGUGUGGAUUUUCUGUUGCAAGCUGCUCCCCUUUUCAUGAGGAGUCUGGGUGCUCUCAGAAGAGGAGCUUAAAAAAAAAGAAGAAGAAGAAGAA